This 28-nucleotide non-coding RNA is filed under the name Mus musculus (house mouse). Lineage: Eukaryota; Metazoa; Chordata; Mammalia; Rodentia; Muridae. The record is from RNAcentral.
UNGGUACUGCAUGCACAUGGGGCACAGU